Molecule: ribosomal RNA, 253 nt
Filed under: uncultured bacterium
Lineage: Bacteria
Description: partial 16S ribosomal RNA
Rfam family: Bacterial small subunit ribosomal RNA
Source: RNAcentral
UACGAAGGGGGCUAGCGUUGUCCGGAAUUAUUGGGCGUAAAGAGCUCGUAGGCGGCUUGUCACGUCGGGUGUGAAAGACCGGGGCUUAACCCCGGUUCUGCAUUCGAUACGGGCUGGCUAGAGUGUGGUAGGGGAGAUCGGAAUUCCCGGUGUAGCGGUGAAAUGCGUAGAGACCGGGAAGAACACCAGUGGCGAAGGCGGCUACCUGGACAGGUACUGACGCUGAAGCGCGAAAGCUAGGGGAGCAAACAGG